Molecule: long non-coding RNA, 390 nt
Filed under: Equus caballus (horse)
Lineage: Eukaryota; Metazoa; Chordata; Mammalia; Perissodactyla; Equidae
Description: lncRNA (ENSECAG00000048202.1)
Source: RNAcentral
AUAACUAUGGCAGAGAGCAGGAGGAUUGACAUGGCCCUGAGGCAAGACUAUGAAAGUGUACUCUUAGCCCUGACGAGUAGAAACAAACUGUUCCUGGUGGUCUUUACAAAUUGGUAUGGAGGAAAAGGCAUACAGCAGCUUCUGAUAGGAAUUUCCUCGCUGACCUUCCAGUCGCCACUAACAGUCUCUUCCAAACUUCUCCAUUCCUUCUAUCAGACUCAAAAACAAUGUCACAUGUUAUGGCAGGACCUCACUUUCAGCAUGAAUCCGAGAGGUAGUGUAACUAAACUCUCUCAUCAAAAUGCUUCCACAGAGCCAAUGAUUUCAACAGUGCUGUUUGGGGCCUCCCCGAGGGAGGUGUUACCUAUUCUUUCAGUUCCUCCUGUUGAA